GAAACAUAUUAAUUAAGAAAAAGCUUCUAACUUUCUUCUUUAGCAGUGAAAUUCUGUUAAUGUUUCU
RNAcentral lists this transfer RNA (67 nucleotides) under Rhagonycha fulva. RNAcentral describes it as "tRNA-Ser". Lineage: Eukaryota; Metazoa; Arthropoda; Insecta; Coleoptera; Cantharidae. The record is from RNAcentral.